GCUCAUGUGGCUCAGUGGACAGAGCAUUGGCCAGUGUACCGAAGCGUCCUGGGUUCGAUUCCAGUCAAGGGCA
Non-coding RNA from Myotis lucifugus (little brown bat), 73 nucleotides. Lineage: Eukaryota; Metazoa; Chordata; Mammalia; Chiroptera; Vespertilionidae. The record is from Rfam.